Long non-coding RNA from Oncorhynchus tshawytscha (Chinook salmon), 430 nucleotides. NCBI's taxonomy places the organism in Eukaryota, Metazoa, Chordata, Actinopteri, Salmoniformes, Salmonidae. The record is from Ensembl.
CGUCACCCUGUUAGGUACGGGGAGGGAACAGUCACCCUGUUGGGAACAGUCACCCUGUUAGGUACGGGGAGGGAACAGUCACCCUGUUAGGUACGGGGAGGGAACAGUCACCCUGUUAGGUACGGGGAGGGAACAGUCACCCUGCUAGGUACGGGGAGGGAACAGUCACCCUGUUGGGAACAGUCACCCUGUUAGGUACGGGGAGGGAACAGUCACCCUGUUAGGUACGGGGAGGGAACAGUCACCCUGCUAGGUACGGGGAGGGAGCGGUCACCCUGCUAGGUACGGGGAGGUGACGGUCACCCUGCUAGGUACGGGGAGGUGACGGUCACCCUGCUAGGUACGGGGAGGUGACGUCACCCUGCUAGGUACGGGGAGGGAACGGUCACCCUGCUAGGUACAGGGAGGUGACGGUCACCCUGCUAGGUAC